Populus euphratica (Euphrates poplar) is the source of this 1914-nucleotide long non-coding RNA. RefSeq lists it as uncharacterized. The record is from RefSeq and is a predicted model, not a curated record. Lineage: Eukaryota; Viridiplantae; Streptophyta; Magnoliopsida; Malpighiales; Salicaceae. The transcript has 2 exons.
UCCCUCAUGCUUCUCUUUGGGUCCUCGUUAUUUCAGAGACAAAGCUCUUUUUUUCCACAGAGGUAGCCUGUAAAAGCCUCCAAAGUCCCUCUCUUUCUUUUCUAAUAAAAAGCUCCCUACAAGAAGACAACAUCAUCCCUCCAAAACCUACCAGCCUUUUCAUUAUUUUAUUCUUCAAAUGACCUGUCUAUCAUGUGCUUUUCCACAUUUAUGUCUGUGUUAUCUUUUCUCUUGCCUCCAUCCACUUCCUUAGUGUGUGGUCUUGUGUGCUAGCUUGUAAGUAUGAAGAGAGUGAUAAUAUUGAGAACCUGAGUACCUUGCAGCCUCGUUGUGUUUUGAUUGUUGAAUCAUGACUCAGAUAUAGAGGAUCCUUGAAAGAAGGAAAAGGGGUGUUUGGAAUGAAGUUUGAUCCAAGAUCCUUGUAUCUCCCGUUCAUUUAGUCCAUGUUACUGCUAGGUUUCGCUAUGAAUCGAUCAGCGUAUACACAGCAGCUACGAGCUAGGCCUUUUGUUCAGAUUUUAGCUUCAAUAUAGAGUGAGCGCUAGUGAUAGAGUUUGAUUCAAGAUCCAUCUCAUGUGUGCUAGCUAGCUUUUAAAAUUUUAAUUAUAUCCCUACUUCCUGUUAAUUCUUAGGUUUUUUCUUGCAAGUUCUUAUAUUUGGUAAACAUCAUGAACUGAUCUCGGACCAGGCUUCAUUCCUUACACCGAACCUUUCCUCUGGCUGAUUACAAGACCCUAAUUAUAAGCUCUUUCCUGUCCAACCUAGAGAAUUCUCCAGGUGACAAAAAGAUUCGCAGACAAACAAUACAAGACAUGUACGAAUGAUGCUUUAAUUUAUUAAAAACAUAUAGAUAAUGUCAAGUACAUAUGAAUAUAUUCACACGCGCGCGCGCGCACCCACACACCUCUCUCCUUAAUUUCCUGUUUGGAAGUUUGUAUCAAGUUUAAUUUGCUUCUUGGUGUUUUUACCCUUCAACACGCCUGUACCCCUGCUAAAAAUCUUUGAUUCUUGGUCUGUUUCACCGAGUUCUGCAUGGAUCUCAUACAGAUAAACCCCGUAGCGUGUCCCUGGAAGCAUAUCCCUACAUAUCUGGGUUUAUAUACAUGCAGACAGGCUCUAUAUAUAUGAUCAGUAUGUCCUUGCAUAUGAAAACACUCACAGAUAGUUUAUUACAUGUGGCCAUAUACAAUUUUUCUUUUUUUCUUUUUUUGAUGAAUGUGAUCGGAUCUUAUGAAUUAUGAUUAAUAAGAAGAUUCCGUGCAAGAGAGCGAUACAUUAUGGCUAAAAUUAACAAGGGGCCAUAUCUAUAUUUUUGCUGUAAAAUAUUAUGUGACAAUUAAUUUAAUUCAUUUUCAACAGAUUUAUCUGCAAUUAUUGUUUUUUUGGACGAAAAUGCAAUUAUUGCUUGUUUCAUUAUCUUUAAUGCUCAGUUUAUACAUCAUCUGCAAAAUAAUAUACGUUGCACUAUCAUAUAGUUACGACGACAAAAUCUUGUUUUAGGGCACAAGGAGACUCGUUUUCUACGCAUAUGAUUUAGCAUUUUUGUUGUUUUUCUGCUACUAAUCACAUCACUCAUAUACAGAACCGAUUUUGUCAUUAACAUAUAAUUUAUUCAAAGUGGUGAUCUUGAGGUGAUGUUUUGAUUAGAAAAUACAGUGCUAUGCUCUUCAAUUAUGGGACAAGAUAUGACUGAUUUGAUUUGCUAAAAUGCUAGGGAGGGGAUUAUAUUAUGUUAUAUAUCGAGAACCUUUUUUAUUUAUUUAUUAAUGUAUAAUUAAUUAGAUGAAUAUUACAAUGAAAAGAUUUCUUGUUAGUGUGCCAAUGCAUUACCAACAAAGGAAACAGAGAAAAGUAAAGGAACUAUCACAUCAUGUUUGUAUAUUGAAUUCUACCAUAUACAUACAGCAAUUUUAA